GGUCCGGUAGCUCAGUGGUAGAGCAGCGAGGAACUCGCAGUCGGCAGUUCGAUUCUGCCCCGGACCACCA
This 70-nucleotide transfer RNA is filed under the name Bacteroidales bacterium. Its description in RNAcentral is "tRNA-Phe". It matches the Rfam family "tRNA". Rfam says of the family: Transfer RNA (tRNA) molecules are approximately 80 nucleotides in length. Their secondary structure includes four short double-helical elements and three loops (D, anti-codon, and T loops). Lineage: Bacteria; Pseudomonadati; Bacteroidota; Bacteroidia; Bacteroidales. The record is from RNAcentral.